UACGUAGGGGGCGAGCGUUGUCCGGAAUCAUUGGGCGUAAAGCGCGUGUAGGCGGCUUGGUAAGUCUGGUGUGAAACCUUGGGGCUCAACCCUAAGCGUGCACUGGAUACUGCCUGGCUUGAGUCCGGGAGGGGAGAGCGGAAUUCCUAGUGUAGCGGUGAAAUGCGCAGAUAUUAGGAAGAACACCGGUGGCGAAGGCGGCUCUCUGGAACGGUACUGACGCUGAGACGCGAAAGCGUGGGGAGCGAACAGG
Molecule: ribosomal RNA, 253 nt
Filed under: uncultured bacterium
Lineage: Bacteria
Description: partial 16S ribosomal RNA
Rfam family: Bacterial small subunit ribosomal RNA
Source: RNAcentral